This 443-nucleotide ribosomal RNA is filed under the name uncultured bacterium. RNAcentral's name for it is "bacterial SSU rRNA". It matches the Rfam family "Bacterial small subunit ribosomal RNA", at positions 335 to 799 of the family's 1533-position model. The record is from RNAcentral.
ACUCCUACGGGAGGCAGCAGUGGGGAAUAUUGCACAAUGGAGGGAACUCUGAUGCAGCGACGCCGCGUGAACGAAGAAGGCUUUCGAGUCGUAAAGUUCUUUUAUAUGGGAAGAUAAUGACGGUACCAUAAGAAAAGCCCCGGCUAACUACGUGCCAGCAGCCGCGGUAAUACGUAGGGGCUAGCGUUGUCCGGAAUCACUGGGCGUAAAGGGUUCGCAGGCGGAAAUGCAAGUCAGAUGUAAAAGGCAGUAGCUUAACUACUGUAAGCAUUUGAAACUGCAUAUCUUGAGAAGAGUAGAGGUAAGUGGAAUUUUUAGUGUAGCGGUGAAAUGCGUAGAUAUUAAAAAGAAUACCGGUGGCGAAGGCGACUUACUGGGCUCAUUCUGACGCUGAGGAACGAAAGCGUGGGUAGCAAACAGGAUUAGAUACCCUGGUAGCUACG